CCUACGGGAGGCAGCAGUGGGGGAUAUUGGACAAUGGGGGGAACCCUGAUCCAGCGACGCCGCGUGAGUGAAGAAGUAUUUCGGUAUGUAAAGCUCUGUCAGCAGGGAAGAAAGAAAUGACGGUACCUGACCAAGAAGCCCCGGCUAACUACGGGCCAGCAGCCGCGGUAAUACGUAGGGGGCAAGCGUUAUCCGGAAUUACUGGGUGUAAAGGGAGCGUAGACGGUUAAGUAAGUCUGGAGUGAAAGGCCGGGGGCCAACCCCGGGACUGCUAUGGAAACUAUUGAACUUGAGUGCAGGAGAGGUAAGCGGAAUUCCUAGUGUAGCGGUGAAAUGCGUAGAUAUUAGGAGGAACACCAGUGGCGAAGGCAGCUUACUGGACUGUAACUGACGUUGAGGCUCGAAAGCGUGGGGAGCAAACAGGAUUAGAUACCCCAGUAGUC
This 443-nucleotide ribosomal RNA is filed under the name uncultured bacterium. RNAcentral describes it as "partial 16S ribosomal RNA". It matches the Rfam family "Bacterial small subunit ribosomal RNA", at positions 338 to 795 of the family's 1533-position model. The record is from RNAcentral.